ACAUGUGCUCGCGCUCAGAAGAUCACUUUCGCAACAGCGGCAUAUAUACAUAGCAAGCACUUGAGUACGGAAGGUGGACAGCUGGGUGGGGAAACAAUCCUUGCCGGUGGGAGUUUCCGAGACGGGCGGCGUUGAUGGAGGCGACUGCAGGCGACGGCGGGGCCAAAGCCAGGCGGCAGAGGAGGCGAAUCCAGGCAGCGGCGGCGCGCUCGUGAACCGGUCGCGGCAGUGAGGAUCGAAUCCCCAACGCUAACAAAGGAGCCGAGCCGAGCCGGGAGCUGCGCAACGCUUGGGAACUGAUGCGGAGGAGACGAUCCAUACGAUCCUGAGCUUGUCCACGUGGCGCACAUCGAAGGUGGGGCUGCACAGGAGGAGGUUUGCAGCCGCUCUCCACCGAAUUUUUUCCGUCCUCUUCCCGUCCUCCUCGCCGCCGUCCUCCUCCCCGCCGUCCUCCCGUCCUCCUCGCCUCCUUCCUCCUCCCCGCCUCCUCCCCUCAUGGCUCUGUGGAGCUGCACCUCGCCCCCACCUCACCUCACCUCGCCUCGUGCUCCACCUCCAGCACUUGGUGGCUGAAAAAGCUUCAAUUUUUCGGCGCAUCCGGUGGCGGAAGUGCCAGAUCCUGUGGCGGCGUUGUAGAUCCGGUGGCGGGGAAGCUCGAUCCGGUGGCGCGUACUCGGCGCUUCCUGGUGGUCCUCCUCGACGCCCGUGGUGUUGGCGUGAUGCAGUCACCUCCUCCUCGCCGUGCAGGGACGGCGGCGGUGCUCUCUCUAUUCAUGGCUACUGCUGGUGUUGCUGCUGGUGGCGCGACCGAUCUGUGUUCUGCAUCGGCUACAGCCACUGUUGGUACGCCUACACAUGGCACUUUUCCAUAGAACGGCGAGUCAGAUAUGAACGGAGAUACCAUUUCCCGAUCAACAGCCAUCAGAUCAAGCGGAAAACACCAGAAAGCUGAUUUUCAUCCAUGAUUUAAACAAGAUUUUUUGCCGUCAGGAUCUGCAACGACGGUAUAGCAUAUGUUUCUGUUUCCACCAUAUUAUUACGGAAAGUUUUAGCCAAAAGGAAGAGAGAAACAACAGCAACUAGCUACGGAAUGCCUCCUAAACCUUUGCCUGAAUCUGCUUAGAGAGGUCAUCUGUACUGGCUAUGACAAACAAACUGGACGAAUGACCCUCAAGUUUAAGGAGUUGUUGGAAGGGUUAAAAUUUUAGAGGAA
Triticum aestivum (bread wheat) is the source of this 1213-nucleotide long non-coding RNA. RefSeq lists it as uncharacterized. The transcript is spliced from 2 exons. The record is from RefSeq and is a predicted model, not a curated record. Lineage: Eukaryota; Viridiplantae; Streptophyta; Magnoliopsida; Poales; Poaceae.